AAGAAUUAUAAACACUCAUUGACCUCUCGGAUUGGCUUUGUUUAGCCAUCAGCACUCCUUUGAGACCAUCCAAGUUUUGACCCAACAGUUGGUUCCUUCUCCAUCGCUGAGUACUUUCUACGGUGUAUAAGGACCACAGCUCAUCUCUUCAUCUGCUGGAUGACAACUGGCUGAGUCCUAGCUGGCAGCAAUGUUGGCAAGGUUGCUUCUGGGCCCAUGGCUAUCAUCUGCGGGUUACUGCAGAGCAGUCCUGAGAACCUGGGUCAGAUGCCACAGGCUGCUCUGCUGCUGGAAAGACAAUCCAACAAUUCAAGAAUACCCCAACAUUCAUGGUCACAUUCAGGGUCCUAUUUUCUGGACUGUGUUCUCUCCAGGGGAAGGACACACACACAUAGCUAUGUUCUUGUGUCCCCUGAGUGCUCACAGCAGUGCUGGUCUUAUCUGUAGAAAGUCCUGUGCACACACAAGUUCUAUUGGGCUCCUCUUGCUGGCUCUAUGAAGCCAUUGGACCUCCACAUGAUCCGGGUCUCAGGUGAAUGUUCACCUGAGCUGCCUAAGGUGUGUGACCCCCAAGGGUUAGGAAGCUGAGAGGUCAGGACUUGAGUUACCCCUAGGGUUUCUGGGUGACGUAUGCUGUUUUCCACAUGGGUGAACAAUGAGUUAGGGAAAGCUCAGCCAGGUGAGUCACAGCCAUAAACGCUAGGGCCAGGACCACGUAGGGUUCUUUCCAGCUCUCAGCUGCCUUCCCAAGAUGUUAAGACACACAUAGUCAAAGACGUACUCCUGAGGAGUGUUCAGGGAAAAAAAAGUCCCAUGAUUACAUGAACAAGUUUGGGAACUGGCUAGAGAUUUGAAAAUGUGAAGAAAUGAAUGUGUCCCAGAACCUAGGAAAGUGAAGUCAUGUGUGGCAUAAACGGGUCCAUCUGGAUCAAUGUGCCCCUGGCCCUGACCUGCCUGGGCAGUGUACAUGGAUGACCUGGGUGAAGUUCCACAGACCAGAGAAGAGCUGGAAAGCUGAGAGCUGGGAAGCCAGUCCUAUCCUCGUGAGCUGAGACUGAGUGACCACUUCAUGGGGGUCCUGAGGACACAGUGAGCUUGGACUGGGGAAAAUCCAGACUGCCACAGUGUUGCUGUGGUGUGUGCUCCCUGGGCGGCUGAGGAGAAAUGAACAAAAGCAUGCCCA
This 1183-nucleotide long non-coding RNA is filed under the name Mus spicilegus (steppe mouse). RNAcentral describes it as "lncRNA (ENSMSIG00000013936.1)". Lineage: Eukaryota; Metazoa; Chordata; Mammalia; Rodentia; Muridae. The record is from RNAcentral.